UUUAGAGCAGGAACUAAGAGUCCGUGUGAACUGUCAUUCUUCUGUUUUCUCCGUAAGAGGACGCAGGAAGUACUUUUAAAACUUAUUUUCUCUUUGCGCAGCACAAACCGUUGCUUUCUGCUUCGCGAGCCGCUGCUGUGAUUUCCCGGGACACCGAUCUCCAGGUGUCCCGAGGAGCGCCCUACUUCCUCCGGCUCCGCCAAAUUCAUGCUCCCAACCGAACUACCCUGGAAAGCGUCUGUUCCUAGAACAGAGCCGCGUUCCCCAGAGACCCAGAAGCGCUGGACUCACAGACACCGUGGUUUACAUCCUAAAACAGUGACAUUGCACAGCCACUGAGGAAUCUACGUGAAACCGCAGCCUCAGUAGCCAGGAGACGCUGUUAGAGGAGACUGGUGGGAGAGCCCCAAAGAGCUGGAAAACCCGGACUCCUUUGCCUCUAGAAAGGACCCUCGGGGCACGUGGGUGGCUCAGUAGGUUAAGCGUCCGGCUCAGGUCGUGAUCCCACGGUGAGUUGGCGUGUGGGGCUCUGGGCUGACAGCUCAGAGCCCGGAACCUGCUUCAGGGUCUGUGUCUCCCUCCCUCUCUCUCUCUCUCUCUCUCUCUCUGCCCCUCUGUCGCUCUCUGUC
This is a long non-coding RNA of Acinonyx jubatus (cheetah), 629 nucleotides long. RefSeq lists it as uncharacterized. The record is from RefSeq and is a predicted model, not a curated record. Lineage: Eukaryota; Metazoa; Chordata; Mammalia; Carnivora; Felidae. The transcript has 2 exons.